RNAcentral lists this ribosomal RNA (466 nucleotides) under uncultured Microsporidia. Its description in RNAcentral is "SSU rRNA". It matches the Rfam family "Microsporidia small subunit ribosomal RNA", at positions 1 to 405 of the family's 1311-position model. Lineage: Eukaryota; Fungi; Microsporidia. The record is from RNAcentral.
CACCAGGUUGAUUCUGCCUGACGUAUGCGCUUGUCUUGAAGAUUUAGCCAUGCAAGCUCGCGAGGCCUUGUGCGGAGCAGCAGACAGCUCAGUAAUACAGUUAUAAUUUACUCGUGAUCUGAUACGGAUAACCUUGGUAAACUAAGGCUAAUACGUAGGAUAGGACGACUGACUUGAGGAAGCAGCAGUAGUCCUGAGGAUUCUAUCGCGAUUAAGUUUCUGGCCUAUCAGCUUGUUGGUAAGGUAAUGGCUUACAAAGGCUUUGACGGGUAACGGGGAAUCAGUGUUCGAUUCCGGAGAGGGAGCCUGAGAAAUAGCUCCCACGUCCAAGGAUGGCAGCAGGCGCGAAAAUUUCCCAAUUCCUUCACGGGAGAGGUAGUUAAGAGACAUGAAGUUCUACUUAGAGACUGUACAAUAAAUACGUAUAGGAUCGACUGGAGGGCAAGUCUGGUGCCAGCAGCCGCGG